RNAcentral lists this ribosomal RNA (400 nucleotides) under uncultured bacterium. RNAcentral describes it as "bacterial SSU rRNA". It matches the Rfam family "Bacterial small subunit ribosomal RNA", at positions 356 to 773 of the family's 1533-position model. The record is from RNAcentral.
GGGGAAUAUUGCACAAUGGGCGGAAGCCUGAUGCAGCAACGCCGCGUGAGUGAAGAAGGUUUUCGGAUUGUAAAGCUCUGUCAUAUGGGACGAUAGUGACGGUACCAUAUGAGGAAGCCACGGCUAACUACGUGCCAGCAGCCGCGGUAAUACGUAGGUGGCAAGCGUUGUCCGGAAUUACUGGGCGUAAAGGGUGCGCAGGCGGACAUUUAAGUGAGAUGUGAAAGACCCGGGCUUAACUUGGGCAGGGCAUUUCAAACUGGGUGUCUUGAGUGCAGGAGAGGAGAACGGAAUUCCUAGUGUAGCGGUGAAAUGCGUAGAGAUUAGGAAGAACACCAGUGGCGAAGGCGGUUCUCUGGACUGUAACUGACGCUGAGGCACGAAAGCGUGGGUAGCAAAC